AGGGAUAUAGCUCAGUGGCACUGUAUCUGCCUGUCAAGCACAAGGUCCUGAGUUCAAUCCUAAGUAUCCCCC
RNAcentral lists this transfer RNA (72 nucleotides) under Fukomys damarensis (Damara mole-rat). It matches the Rfam family "tRNA". Rfam says of the family: Transfer RNA (tRNA) molecules are approximately 80 nucleotides in length. Their secondary structure includes four short double-helical elements and three loops (D, anti-codon, and T loops). The record is from Rfam by way of RNAcentral. Lineage: Eukaryota; Metazoa; Chordata; Mammalia; Rodentia; Bathyergidae.